This 497-nucleotide ribosomal RNA is filed under the name uncultured bacterium. RNAcentral describes it as "partial 16S ribosomal RNA". It matches the Rfam family "Bacterial small subunit ribosomal RNA", at positions 28 to 507 of the family's 1533-position model. The record is from RNAcentral.
GAUGAACGCUGGCGGCGUGCCUAAUACAUGCAAGUCGAGCGAACAGACGAGGAGCUUGCUCCUCUGACGUUAGCGGCGGACGGGUGAGUAACACGUGGAUCACCUCCCUAUAAGACUGGGAUCACUUCGGGAAACCGGCGCUAAUCCCGGAUAAUAUAUUGAACCGCAUGGUUCAAUAGUGAAAGACGGUUUUGCUGUCACUUAUAGAUGGAUCCCGGCCGCAUUAGCUAGUUGGUAAGGUAACGGCUUACCAAGGCAACGAUGCGUAACCGACGUGAGAGGGUGAUCGGCCACCCGGGAACUGAGCCACGGUCCAGACUCCUACGGGAGGCAGCAGUAGGGAAUCUUACGCAAUGGGCGGAAGCCUGACGGAGCAACGCCGCGUGAGUGAUGAAGGUCUUCGGAGCGUAAAACUCUGUUAUUAGGGAAGAACAAAUGUGUAAGUAACUAUGCACGUCUUGACGGUACCUAAUCAGAAAGCCACGGCUAACUACGUG